UGCAGGAGGUCUGAGUGGUGGCCCAGUAUGGAAUUCUUUCCAAAGAUGUCACUAGAGUCAAAAGCAUUACAACUCCGUGCAGCCAGGUUUGUGCUCCAGAAGUACCACAAAAGGGAGAGUGUGACAGCUAUGCUCCAAGAACUCCAGUGGAAUUCCCUUGAAUGAAGAGACAAGCAGCAGGCCUGGUCAUGCUUAACAAGACACAACACAGCAUUGUCGCCAUCAACCCAGCUCUCUAUCUGUCACCCAUGAUGCCAAGUAUCACCAGAUCAUUCCAUCCCAGCAAACUACAGCUCAUCACCAGCCGCACCCAACUCCACGGGAACUCCUUCUUCCCCAGAUCAGUUCGCCUAUGAAACACCCUCCCAGAUGUACCAACCACCAACCAGCUGCUAAGCAGAGCUGCUGAAUUUUACUUGCACUUUGUUGGAUCCUGCACAAAUGUUAUUUUUCUUCGUCUUCGUUUCGACACCAUUGUUUCUUCAAGUUAUUUUUGUCUUCAAGCACCUAUAAGUCUGCACUGCAUAUGAGCACCAAUCACCCCCUUGGCAUUACAUCCAGACUGAUGGAUCCUGCCGAGUUAUCGAUGUAAACUGUCUGCACAGUUAAUGAACACUUCAAGAUGUCACGAAGACUCACAUCAUAUUUGCUGAGUUUAGGGGCUAUAGGAGCAGCCGGUGGAGUUGGUUGGGCACUCAUGAAACUUAUUUCACCAACUCGAGAAGACAUGCUAAAGGUACUGCCAGAGUCGGAUCCGAAGGUUAUGACUGAAUCCAGACGCAGGAGCCAGGCAUUUCUGGAUGCCAUUAAGGCCGCAGCAGAGAACCCCAACCCCAUCCACAUGACAUCGUCACCCCACACACUGACCAAGAAGGACUGAGAGAAGUCAGGGAACCAGAACUGUGAUGAGAGCGGCAGAAUCUUUUCGGGGAUCUGCCAGGGUUUCUCUAGCAAAAGGCGAACACUGGGUCCUCUUUGACGGCAUAUCGGGUGACAGGGACCCAUUUAGGGCAGAGACCCUACACUUUGCUAUUCCGUGACAUGCUCAAGACUCUUACAUCCAGUCUGAGGAGACUAUAUUUAAUGUUAGGAUUAUCAGGGAUGUACGUCCUCCUGCAACUGCCUGAUUUCUGGCUUUUUUUUUUCAAAUUGUAAAUAACAUAGUGCAGUGGCACCAUACAUGUACAUGUGUGCAUACUCAUCUUUAUAUCUCAAUUUUCAGGCAAAAACAUCACAUCCCUGAAUUAUGCAAGACGGAAGCAUGGAGGAGAAACGUAAAAAGGGCGUGUACAAAUGUCAAUUAUGUGUAUUUGAACCCUGAUCCUCCCAGAUCCUUCAGAAUCCACCGGGAUUAAAGGAUCCUGCAGGAUUGAGGAAGGUAGAGCCUUGGAACGUGAUGGGUUCGACCUACCAAGUUGAAAGUUGAAUGAGCAAGCUGCCAUUUGUUUCCUGCAGUGGGUUAGAUUUUGGAGGAUUCAGGAAAGUGUUUUAGCAACAUGCAAAAAAAUUGUUUAUGCGUGGCAUCCUUUGAUUUCAGUAGAAUUCAACUCUUGAAUUCACUUUGAAGCCCAUGCCAAUUUGUGUCCUACAAGAGAAUAUUUGCUUAUUACAGAGCCAGAAAUUUAUUGGCGUUGCUUGUCAUUCAUACAUCCUGAACAUCAUAUUUCCAAGGACUGCAUUGACUCCCUUGUAGGUUUUAAACUUUCACUAAUAAUAGGUUUGAAAGAACUUGAUCUGACUUUAAAGCUAUAGUCCAUCAUUUGCAACUAUCCGAAAAGUAGUUGGCAUAAUUAUUGUUGAAAAACAUACU
Patiria miniata (bat star) is the source of this 1810-nucleotide long non-coding RNA. RefSeq lists it as uncharacterized. NCBI's taxonomy places the organism in Eukaryota, Metazoa, Echinodermata, Asteroidea, Valvatida, Asterinidae. The transcript is spliced from 3 exons. The record is from RefSeq and is a predicted model, not a curated record.